ACUCCUACGGGAGGCAGCAGUGGGAAUAUUGCACAAUGGGGGAAAGCCCAUGAUGCAGCCAUGCCGCGUGUGUGAAGAAGGCCUUCGGGUUGUAAAGCACUUUUCAGUAGGGAGGAAGGUAGUGUAGUUAACACCUGCAUUUAUUUUGACGUUUACCUACAGAAGAAGCACCGGCUAACUCCGUGCCAGCAGCCGCGGUAAUACGGAGGGUGCGAGCGUUAAUCGGAAUUACUGGGCGUAAAGCGCAUGCAGGCGGCCUGUUAAGUCAGAUGUGAAAGCCCGGGGCUUAACCUCGGAAUUGCAUUUGAAACUGGCAGGCUAGAGUCUUGUAGAGGGGGGUAGAAUUUCAGGUGUAGCGGUGAAAUGCGUAGAGAUCUGAAGGAAUACCAGUGGCGAAGGCGGCCCCCUGGACAAAGACUGACGCUCAGAUGCGAAAGCGUGGGGAGCAAACAGGAUUAGAUACCCUGGUAGGCUCU
Molecule: ribosomal RNA, 476 nt
Filed under: uncultured bacterium
Lineage: Bacteria
Description: bacterial SSU rRNA
Rfam family: Bacterial small subunit ribosomal RNA
Source: RNAcentral